UGGCUUAUGUAGAAUGGGUGACCAGGAC
Molecule: non-coding RNA, 28 nt
Filed under: Mus musculus (house mouse)
Lineage: Eukaryota; Metazoa; Chordata; Mammalia; Rodentia; Muridae
Source: RNAcentral